RNAcentral lists this ribosomal RNA (433 nucleotides) under uncultured bacterium. Its description in RNAcentral is "partial 16S ribosomal RNA". It matches the Rfam family "Bacterial small subunit ribosomal RNA", at positions 29 to 507 of the family's 1533-position model. The record is from RNAcentral.
AACGAACGCUGGCGGCAUGCCUAACACAUGCCAGUCGAACGAGACCUUCGGGUCUAGUGGCGCACGGGUGCGUAACGCGUGGGAACCUGCCCUUAGGUUCGGAAUAACUCCCCGAAAGGGGUGCUAAUACCGGAUAAUGUCUUCGGACCAAAGAUUUAUCGCCUUUGGAUGGGCCCGCGUUGGAUUAGCUAGUUGGUAGGGUAAAAGCCUACCAAGGCGACGAUCCAUAGCUGGUCUGAGAGGAUGAUCAGCCACACUGGGACUGAGACACGGCCCAGACUCCUACGGGAGGCAGCAGUGGGGAAUAUUGGACAAUGGGCGAAAGCCUGAUGCAGCAAUGACGCGUGAGUGAUGAAGGUCUUAGGGUUGUAAAGCUCUUUUACCCGGGAUGAUAAUGACAGUACCGGGAGAAUAAGCCCCGGCUAACUACGUG